Molecule: transfer RNA, 69 nt
Filed under: Gongylus gongylodes
Lineage: Eukaryota; Metazoa; Arthropoda; Insecta; Mantodea; Empusidae
Description: tRNA-Leu
Source: RNAcentral
ACUAUUUUGGCAGAAUUUAGUGCAGUGGAUUUAGAUUCUAUGUAUAUGAUAUUAUAAUCAUAAAUAGUA